AUGGAGACCUGGGCGUGCCAUCAGCUGAAGAUCAAAGGUGACUGUAAUGGUCAGACCAUUAAGCCAAUCAGAGAGGAGGUGUAUGCUCCAGCAGGAAGCAAUAUUACACUUUCAUGCACCUACUCAUCUGCAGUCUCUCUUCAAUGGUAUCUCCAGGACCCUGGAUCAGCUCCUCAGUAUAUCCUGCUUAUCUUGCAUGGUGUGGGGUCUCCAUCACUGGCACCAGGUCUGGAUCCUCGACUGUCAGUCAAACUGAAUGCUGAGAAGAACCGUGUGGAUCUGGAGAUCUCCUCUGCUAAAGAGAAAGACUCUGCUAUGUACUACUGUGCACUGACGCCCACAGAGAAAGGAAACCUACAAACGCUGUACAAAAACCUAACCUGA
This is a non-coding RNA of Salvelinus sp. IW2-2015, 384 nucleotides long. The record is from the annotation of a RefSeq genome assembly. Lineage: Eukaryota; Metazoa; Chordata; Actinopteri; Salmoniformes; Salmonidae.